AAAAAAAUCUAUUUACUAGUAAAGUGUUGAAGAAUAUAAUAAAUAUAAAUGUAAGGAAUUAAUGAUUGUGUUUGGCACUGCCUAACCCUAACCCAAACCCUAACCCUAACUAACCCUAACACUAACCCUCACUCUUGACCUGGGACUGCAUGCUAUAUUCUGCAAAAAUAUCUGAGGAGACAAGAACAAUCUGAAUGUAGUCAGUACAUUUCAAAAUUAUUAUAUAUUUUAGAUUAUUCCACCUAGUUAGAUAUAUUGUCAUAUUUCCUACACAGUGAAAUUAUCAAAUUAUAUUGCGGCGAACAUAAUCAAACUCAGAGCACCACAGAUUAAUGGUAUAACUCAGAACUCAAGCAAGGAUGUGACACAUAGUGUCAUCAUUUCACCACUGUUCCUUCCAUAGGGAGACCAGCCAUGCUGGGUAGUUCUUAUGGUUGAUUCCACUGGGCCUGUUGAAUGUGUGUCCUAAACUCCUGUUUAAAAGUGUCUGAUAAUGUAUGUAGAUAAAAUUGGAGAAUACACCCUGAUACUGGUAUUUGUAUAGAGGUAUAUUUAAAUUUCAUGUAUUAUAUAACCUGUUUUUGGUGGCAACAGCAGUUGAGAAGGGAAGCAUGUUUAGCAUUUGUUUAAGACUGUGUGUUUAAAGGCUUAGGAAAGGAUUUCAUGUUUCAGAAAAGACUGCUGUUUCUUUCCUCUGUGAUACAGUAUGAUUUUCUAGUGCAGUUUGUCCACUGACUGAUAUUUAGUAGGUGAAGAAUGUGCAGGAAAAAAGAGGACGCAAACGCGAGCCUGCAACUGAAGGAUUUAAAGGCCCUGCACAAAACGUCAUAUUAACGGGAAAAAACAAGACCACAUCAAAAUGGCUCAGAUGUAUUUCUGGGGUUGAAGUUAAACUAAAUACAAGAGUUUAUUGCACGCAUUUUACUGCAAAUUAAUUUAAAAAUUGGGCUCAAUACAGCUGCGGAGUUGCCAGUCGACUAAAGCUUAAAGCAACAGCUUUUCUAAUACUUAUUGGAGCCAACGUGGAUGAUAAAGUGACCUGCUAAGACCUGCCCCCUGGCUAACAGAAACGCU
Electrophorus electricus (electric eel) is the source of this 1074-nucleotide non-coding RNA. NCBI's taxonomy places the organism in Eukaryota, Metazoa, Chordata, Actinopteri, Gymnotiformes, Gymnotidae. The record is from RefSeq and is a predicted model, not a curated record.